ACCUGGGAUAGCUCAGUUGGUAAGAGCAUAAAAACUCUUGAUCUCAGGGUCGUGGGUUCGACCCCCGUGUUGGGCA
Non-coding RNA from Podarcis lilfordi (Lilford's wall lizard), 76 nucleotides. NCBI's taxonomy places the organism in Eukaryota, Metazoa, Chordata, Lepidosauria, Squamata, Lacertidae. The record is from the annotation of a GenBank genome assembly.